AGGGCUAAACCCUGGAGCUGAGCAAUGGGAAGGCUGUUAGAUGGCACUGUCUUUUCUCAGGGCAUCUGAGAAAAUCUUCUCUCGUCUGAAAAAGAAAGAUUCAGAGUUUUUUUGCACCAUGUUCUGUACCAUUUCAUCAGCUGUAUCUCUUGGGCAGAGAAAGAAUACGUUCCUGUACCCCCUAUAAUAUGUCCUCAAGCAGCAGAAAGGUUCAUAUAUCCCAUAUGGAGCUUUGUGGCUUCAGGCCCACUCCUUUUUGGAAGAGAAGAUGGGUGAUUAGGUGGCACCUACCCCAGGUCUGGAUGUUCUCAUACCAAACAUUCUGUUCUGCUUGAUGC
Long non-coding RNA from Corapipo altera (White-ruffed manakin), 338 nucleotides. RefSeq lists it as uncharacterized. NCBI's taxonomy places the organism in Eukaryota, Metazoa, Chordata, Aves, Passeriformes, Pipridae. The record is from RefSeq and is a predicted model, not a curated record. The transcript is spliced from 3 exons.